Molecule: non-coding RNA, 136 nt
Organism: Hordeum vulgare subsp. vulgare (domesticated barley)
Lineage: Eukaryota; Viridiplantae; Streptophyta; Magnoliopsida; Poales; Poaceae
Source: Rfam
AUUAUUCUCCCUCCGUCUCAAAAUUCUUGUCUUAGAUUUGUUUAGAUAUAGAUGUAUCUUGCCACGUUUUAGUAUUUAGAUAUUUUCAUUUUUAGACAAACUUAAGACAAGAAUUUUAAGACGGAGGGAGUAUAUG